Molecule: ribosomal RNA, 301 nt
Filed under: uncultured bacterium
Lineage: Bacteria
Description: partial 16S ribosomal RNA
Rfam family: Bacterial small subunit ribosomal RNA
Source: RNAcentral
CAGUCGCCGCGGUAAUACGAAGGGUGCAAGCGUUAAUCGGAAUUACUGGGCGUAAAGCGUGCGUAGGCGGUUUGUUAAGUCUGUUGUGAAAUCCCCGGGCUCAACCUGGGAAUGGCAAUGGAUACUGGCAAGCUAGAGUGUGUCAGAAGAUGGUGGAAUUCCCGGUGUAGCGGUGAAAUGCGUAGAGAUCGGGAGGAACAUCAGUGGCGAAGGCGGCCAUCUGGGACAACACUGACGCUGAGGCACGAAAGCGUGGGGAGCAAACAGGAUUAGAUACCCCCGUAGUCCCUGUCUCUUAUAC